UACGUAGGGGGCAAGCGUUGUCCGGAAUCAUUGGGCGUAAAGAGCGUGUAGGCGGCCAGAAAAGUCCGCUGUGAAAACUCGAGGCUCAACUUCGAGCUGUCGGUGGAAACUUUCUGGCUAGAGUCCGGAAGAGGAGAAUGGAAUUCCUGGUGUAGCGGUGAAAUGCGCAGAUAUCAGGAAGAACACCGGUGGCGAAGGCGGAUCUCUGGGCCUUACCUGACGCUCAGGUGCGAAAGCUAGGGGAGCGAACAGG
RNAcentral lists this ribosomal RNA (253 nucleotides) under uncultured bacterium. RNAcentral's name for it is "partial 16S ribosomal RNA". It matches the Rfam family "Bacterial small subunit ribosomal RNA", at positions 524 to 776 of the family's 1533-position model. The record is from RNAcentral.